Molecule: long non-coding RNA, 3979 nt
Filed under: Musa acuminata (dwarf banana)
Lineage: Eukaryota; Viridiplantae; Streptophyta; Magnoliopsida; Zingiberales; Musaceae
Description: long non-coding RNA (MACU_LNC002091)
Source: RNAcentral
UUGCAUAUUCCCAUACGGCAGCUGCUGCAUUUGUUCUCCUCCUUCCAUCCCCUCUCACGAGGUAAUCGUACGAGAUAAAAAAAGGGAAAUUCUGCAGUCUAGAUGAGGAUCCUUAUUAUUUAUUUACCGUAUCAUCAACUUUGAUCGGCAGAGAAAAGGCUCACUAUCUUGCUCAUCAUCUCUUGCAAUUGCACAAGAAACAAUAAAGCUGAACCCUAUCAUCAACUUUGAUCAGCAGAGAAAAAACUCUAUCUUGCUCCUCGUCUCUUGCAAUUGCACAAGAAACAAUAAAGCUGAACACGUUGUUCCAUAACACCAGUCAUCUUCUCGAGCAGCAGUCCUGGAAGUAUACGGAUGAUAUGUACUGGUGUUACGACGGUGAAUACGAAAAAGAGAUACUAAUCUUAGUUGGUUUUGUUUACGGUGAAUACGGAUGGUGUACCGUGUUUGUCUAUAAAGGGUUGGUCUCUUCGAAAAGUUUUAUGAUCUGCAAAAGAAAGAGAAGAUAUGUUAGAAAAAAUGUUUAAUUUGAGAUCCUACAAAUAGUUAUGUUAGCAAGCAGAUAAUGUAAAUUACAAACAUAGAUUUUGUAAGUUCUGAAUUCCUACAUAGUUGCAUGACAAAGGUCUAAAGUGAUUCGCCAUGAUCAAAAUUCCUCAUAAGUGUCCAUAUAAUAUUGUUGCGGAACAAGGUCUCGAACCAAUCCUAUAUACUAUCCUAUAGGCCCAUCUAGUCAUGUGCUACUAUGGUCGCUCUUGGGUACUAUGCUGAACAUUUCAUACUACUCUAUGGAGCUAAAAACCCCUAAAAUAAUUGCGUGAAUGGUUUGUUUCUAAGCAGUUUUACUUUUGUGCGAUGAUGCACAUAAUUUGUGUUUACAAGCCUGAAAUGACUAUAAAAAUUAAUCAAAAUGGGGCCAUCAAAUCUACUACAAGCCUUCUAUAUUUUGUGCAAAGCUUAAAUAAAAUCGUAAGACAUGAUCAUACAUAAGUAUUACAUCAAACAUACUAUUUAUAACUUUGUCCAUGACAUCAAACACUCUCGUUAUAAUCUUUGUGGAUGCUGCAUCUUCUUGCUUUUGCUGAAUCUUCAAUCUUCUACUCCAAUUGCAAUAUGCCUCUUGACUCUCAACUGCUUUUCGUCAUUAUCGUUUAGUCGAACUUUAAUCCAUCACAUUGCUUCAACUUGCUAAUGACUCUGGUGUGAGGUCAGUCGAAUUGUGCUUAUUUUUAUUGGUUCAUUCAAAUCCCUUAGAUGAAGGAAAAUAUCUUUGUUGUUGUGUACCAAUCUCUCAAAUGUCUCACAUUGCUUAAACUGGUUGGAUGUCUAUUAGAGUUUUGAUGAGCAUCGCCUCACCGACUUUGAAGUUAUUAAAGUAUUUUCUACAUAAAAUUUGCUUAUUGAUUUUACUUUUAAUUAUUUAUCGUCUUUAAGUAGGUUCGCAUCAUAUUCGCUUUCAAUUGUCAUUCUAUUAGGAAAUGAAGCAAUAGGAUGUUCUUGGUAGAACCGAUUAUCAUUGGCGAGGAUUAAACAAUUAUUGUUUUCCACUAGGUUUCUUCAAAAGAUCUUUGAACAUGUGCAACGCUCCUCUACUAGAUAAAUAAGAGAAUUGAGAUAUUCGAUUUCGCUCAUUCUUUUAAGAGUUAAGAAGACAAAUGUUACUAACUUUACCCACCUUCUUAAUGGUUAUAUACCAUGCAUUGAAUUGGUUACUAGCCUUCACCCGUUCUUUACUGACACUUUCAAAACACCCAAAGUGUUUGCACUCCUUGAGUUAGCUAAUGUGAUUUACCUCAUUAUCAUCAAACUUCUGAAAUGCAAAAAAAUUUACUUGAAGAGUAAAAUUUUACCUCAAUUUAGAGGAAGUAUCAACUAAUUUUGAUCACUUUUGGGAUUAUAUCGUCUUCUCCAUCAUUUCUGUCAGCUACUCCUUUGAGUAAAAAAUGUAUAACACUGUAUACUGCUUAUUUCGUUCCUUGGUCAAGUACUCUUGCAUCGACUCGAAAUCCCUCACUUUCAAUUAUUUUGAUGAGAAACUUGUUAACACCAGUCUUAUAAAGUUUUUUGGCCAUUACCCUUUGGUCUUGUUUUGAUACUUAAAGUUUGCCUCUACAUGCUCCAUCUCCUCGGCACUUUUUACGAUCUAACGCUCUCCGUUCAUAAAAGCAAGGGAUCGAUAACUCCAUAAAAGUUUUACCUCUACAGUACCAUAAUGUUGUCAUGCCCAUUACCCUACUAUCUGUUGCCUCAUAUAUGCAUCCUUUUCUUCAUGAUCAAUAGUUCUACCUUUGCGACACUAUGAGACUCAUAUGAGUCCAUCUCUAUUCUAACCGACGCUUGCUUUUGGGUAGCCUAGUCCCUCUAGACUCAUCGUCGCUUCUUCGCCUCUUUCGACAAUUUAUUUUAACACCUCUAUAUUCUCCGAACAAUUUUCCUUGGUCAAUGAAAAGAAAAACUACAACUUUAAUGCAUAGUCUCUGCCAUCAUGUUGCAGGGCUCAAGCCGAUUCUAUUUUCCUUUGCUUCCUCGAUAGUAAUAUUCGCUUACUCGAUCUUGUCAUAUAACUUAUUGAGCUCACUUAAGCGAAUAUGAGUUUUGAAAUAAUCCAAACUCUCCAACCGCUUCGAUAAUAUCUCUGUAUGAUCAAGUUCUCAUCCCGAGAGUUAUUGGCACUUGCACUUAGAAUUCUCCUUCGGUGGUACAUAACUCUCUAUAUGCUGAUAACAAAGACUUUCAUCCGAUGUAAAAUUUGAUAUGCCUAAGGAAGACCCUAGAUACUACCAUAAAGGCCUAUUCAACUUUAUGGAGUUAGAUCCCUCCCAAAAUAAUAGUUUGAAUGACUUGUUUCUAUGUAGUUUUGCAUAUGCACGAUAACUAUAUGCAUAACUAUACAUAACCUACAUUUAUAAAUCUGAAACAACCAUAAAAGUUAAUCAAAAUAAAAUUAUAAAAUCUAUUGUAAGCCUUUUACAUGUUUGAUCAGAGACAAUACAGUAGUCGGCAAAGGGAACAACGAAACAAUGACACGAAAUGAAAAAGCACAAAUCAAACAUGGCAAAAAAAGGCAACAAGAAAAGAAUGAACGAGGAAGGACACAUUUCAAAGCCUCUUUCUUCCAUCUCCUUCGCAUGCGCUAUGUGUAUGGUGGCCCUUUAUGGACUCCCCACGUCUCACAGAAAGCCCACCUAAAUUCCACCAAAUUGUUCUCUGUCCAUAUUUACAGCAAGUGCGCAACUUGAGCGCCCCACCAAGAAUUAGGACAUGUCCCUACCGUGAGGAAGAAGAGAUUCUACUCGAAAUGCCAUUGCAUUGAAUCGAAAACGUAGAUCGGACUCCGAUCAAGAAUAUAAUAACCCGGAAAAGACGCAAAAUCAAAGAAGCUAUUUGGUUCAUCAGCGAUUGCAAUCAACGGAUCGGAAGAACGGACGCAAAGAGCAUAGGGUUUCAGUACUGUGAGACCAUUACGUACCCACAUCGGCAUCAACUGCGUUCGUCUGAUGCCCGAUGAUCUCUGAAAUCUACCAAAAACACAUCUUACCCUUCCCCUGCAAGCCUCAGUCGAGAGACGAGGUUAGGCUACUUCUGAGUUGUAGAGUGACCCAAGAGGUAGGGAUCCAUGGCGGCGAGACUCUGAAACCGUAACCCUAGAGAACACCGCGUGUGCUUGUGGUAUAUAGGGACGGUGGGGGCAUCUUUUUGCAUAUUAGUCCUUACGAAGUUUAAAUUUAGCGCAUUUGUCCUUGAAGUAUAAUAACGGUGGCCCAGCCUAUAUAUAUAUAUAUAUAUAUAUAUAUAUAUAUAUAUAUAUAUAUAUAUAUUCUCUCUCUCUCUCUCUCUUAAGUUUAUAGCUUCCGUUGCCUUCUCUUCCUUAACGCGACUGUAAUCGUAUUUUAGGGUUUCUGAUGGGAUCCGAAGGUAGACGGAAGGUGCCGACCGACUCCAUCCCUUUAUGUCCCUAUGCCUAUUCCGUGAUUUGGGA